GGGGUUGUAAAGGUUUCGACGGGGAUUUUGAAGCUAUGGAAGCCAUCUGGGGACUAGGACCUCAUAACAACUUAGAAAUUUAAAAUUAAACGCUGAAGAUAAUUUAGCUUACGCAGCCUAAGCUGCGUUGUCACCCUUAGAUUUCCCGCAAUCUGAGACGUGGCAUCGAAACCGCGGGGCACUUCGUCGUCAAAGCUUUGAGAUGAUGGAAGAACUAUGAAGCUACUAAGCCUGUAAGUCUGUUUGUGGACGUACAGGUGAGGGAAUGUUAAAUCACAAACUGUGAUGGGAGAAACUGUAGUGAAUGAGUUUUCGGACGCGGGUUCGAUUCCCGCCAGCUCCAU
RNAcentral lists this transfer-messenger RNA (344 nucleotides) under bovine gut metagenome. It matches the Rfam family "transfer-messenger RNA". From Rfam's summary of the family: Bacterial tmRNA, also known as 10Sa RNA or SsrA, is named for its dual tRNA and mRNA-like properties. Its role is to liberate the mRNA from a stalled ribosome. The record is from RNAcentral.